GAUGAACGCUGGCGGCGUGCUUAACACAUGCAAGUCGAACGAUGAACCGGUGCUUGCAUUGGGGAUUAGUGGCGAACGGGUGAGUAACACGUGAGUAACCUGCCCUUAACUUCGGGAUAAGCCUUGGAAACGGGGUCUAAUACUGGAUAUUGACUUUUCCCCGCAUGGGGUUUGGUUGAAAGAUUUUAUUGGUUUUGGAUGGACUCGCGGCCUAUCAGCUUGUUGGUGAGGUAAUGGCUUACCAAGGCGACGACGGGUAGCCGGCCUGAGAGGGUGACCGGCCACACUGGGAMUGAGACACGGCCCAGACUCCUACGGGAGGCAGCAGUGGGGAAUAUUGCACAAUGGGCGAAAGCCUGAUGCAGCGACGCCGCGUGAGGGAUGACGGCCUUCGGGUUGUAAAGCACUUUUGUCCGGAAAGAAAAGCUUAGGGUUAAUAACCUUGAGUCAUGACGGUACCGGAAGAAUAAGCACCGGCUAACUUCGUGCCAGCAGCCGCGGUAAUACGAAGGGUGCAAGCGUUACUCGGAAUUACUGGGCGUAAAGCGUGCGUAGGUGGUUUGUUAAGUCUGAUGUGAAAGCCCUGGGCUCAACCUCGGAUCUGCGGUGGGUACGGGCAGACUAGAGUGAUGUAGGGGAGACUGGAAUUCCUGGU
This 655-nucleotide ribosomal RNA is filed under the name uncultured Arthrobacter sp. RNAcentral describes it as "bacterial SSU rRNA". It matches the Rfam family "Bacterial small subunit ribosomal RNA", at positions 28 to 674 of the family's 1533-position model. Lineage: Bacteria; Bacillati; Actinomycetota; Actinomycetes; Micrococcales; Micrococcaceae. The record is from RNAcentral.